RNAcentral lists this ribosomal RNA (506 nucleotides) under uncultured bacterium. RNAcentral's name for it is "partial 16S ribosomal RNA". It matches the Rfam family "Bacterial small subunit ribosomal RNA", at positions 29 to 523 of the family's 1533-position model. The record is from RNAcentral.
AGUGAACGCUGGCGGUAGGUCUAACACAUGCAAGUCGAACGGCAGCACAGGAGAGCUUGCUCUCUGGGUGGCGAGUGGCGGACGGGUGAGGAAUACAUCGGAAUCUACUUUUACGUGGGGGAUAACGUAGGGAAACUUACGCUAAUACCGCAUACGACCUACGGGUGAAAGCAGGGGAUCUUCGGACCUUGCGCGAUUGAAUGAGCCGAUGUCGGAUUAGCUAGUUGGCGGGGUAAAGGCCCACCAAGGCGACGAUCCGUAGCUGGUCUGAGAGGAUAAUCAGCCAGACUGGAACUGAGACACGGUCCAGACUCCUACGGGAGGCAGCAGUGGGGAAUAUUGGACAAUGGGCGCAAGCCUGAUCCAGCCAUUACGCGUGGGUGAAGAAGGCCUUCGGGUUGUAAAGCCCUUUUGUUGGGAAAGAAAUCCAGCUGGUUAAUACCCGGUUGGGAUGACGGUACCCAAAGAAUAAGCACCGGCUAACUUCGUGCCAGCCGCCGCCGUAA